This 578-nucleotide ribosomal RNA is filed under the name uncultured bacterium. RNAcentral describes it as "bacterial SSU rRNA". It matches the Rfam family "Bacterial small subunit ribosomal RNA", at positions 102 to 694 of the family's 1533-position model. The record is from RNAcentral.
ACGGGUGAGUAACACGUGAGUAACCUGCCCUUGACUUUGGGAUAACUUCAGGAAACUGGGGCUAAUACCGGAUAGGAGCUCCUGCUGCAUGGUGGGGGUUGGAAAGUUUCGGCGGUUGGGGAUGGACUCGCGGCUUAUCAGCUUGUUGGUGGGGUAGUGGCUUACCAAGGCUUUGACGGGUAGCCGGCCUGAGAGGGUGACCGGCCACAUUGGGACUGAGAUACGGCCCAGACUCCUACGGGAGGCAGCAGUGGGGAAUAUCGCACAAUGGGCGGAAGCCUGAUGCAGCAACGCCGCGUGCGGGAUGACGGCCUUCGGGUUGUAAACCGCUUUCACCUGUGACGAAGCGUGAGUGACGGUAAUGGGUAAAGAAGCACCGGCUAACUACGUGCCAGCAGCCGCGGUGAUACGUAGGGUGCGAGCGUUGUCCGGAUUUAUUGGGCGUAAAGGGCUCGUAGGUGGUUGAUCGCGUCGGAAGUGUAAUCUUGGGGCUUAACCCUGAGCGUGCUUUCGAUACGGGUUGACUUGAGGAAGGUAGGGGAGAAUGGAAUUCCUGGUGGAGCGGUGGAAUGCGCAGA